CGGAACAAAAGCGGAUUAUUGGGGCAUUUCCGAAAACAAAAAGCCCGGUUUUCCGGGCUUUUCUCUGUCGGCACCUGCUUCGGGAGCAGGGGGUCGCGUGUUCGAAUCACGCUACUCCGACCA
Molecule: transfer RNA, 123 nt
Filed under: Phyllobacteriaceae bacterium
Lineage: Bacteria; Pseudomonadati; Pseudomonadota; Alphaproteobacteria; Hyphomicrobiales; Phyllobacteriaceae
Description: tRNA-Ser
Source: RNAcentral